This 1530-nucleotide ribosomal RNA is filed under the name Klebsiella pneumoniae. RNAcentral's name for it is "bacterial SSU rRNA". It matches the Rfam family "Bacterial small subunit ribosomal RNA". The record is from RNAcentral. Lineage: Bacteria; Pseudomonadati; Pseudomonadota; Gammaproteobacteria; Enterobacterales; Enterobacteriaceae.
UUGAAGAGUUUGAUCAUGGCUCAGAUUGAACGCUGGCGGCAGGCCUAACACAUGCAAGUCGAGCGGUAGCACAGAGAGCUUGCUCUCGGGUGACGAGCGGCGGACGGGUGAGUAAUGUCUGGGAAACUGCCUGAUGGAGGGGGAUAACUACUGGAAACGGUAGCUAAUACCGCAUAACGUCGCAAGACCAAAGUGGGGGACCUUCGGGCCUCAUGCCAUCAGAUGUGCCCAGAUGGGAUUAGCUAGUAGGUGGGGUAACGGCUCACCUAGGCGACGAUCCCUAGCUGGUCUGAGAGGAUGACCAGCCACACUGGAACUGAGACACGGUCCAGACUCCUACGGGAGGCAGCAGUGGGGAAUAUUGCACAAUGGGCGCAAGCCUGAUGCAGCCAUGCCGCGUGUGUGAAGAAGGCCUUCGGGUUGUAAAGCACUUUCAGCGGGGAGGAAGGCGAUAAGGUUAAUAACCUUGUCGAUUGACGUUACCCGCAGAAGAAGCACCGGCUAACUCCGUGCCAGCAGCCGCGGUAAUACGGAGGGUGCAAGCGUUAAUCGGAAUUACUGGGCGUAAAGCGCACGCAGGCGGUCUGUCAAGUCGGAUGUGAAAUCCCCGGGCUCAACCUGGGAACUGCAUUCGAAACUGGCAGGCUAGAGUCUUGUAGAGGGGGGUAGAAUUCCAGGUGUAGCGGUGAAAUGCGUAGAGAUCUGGAGGAAUACCGGUGGCGAAGGCAGCCCCGACAAAGACUGACGCUCAGGUGCGAAAGCGUGGGGAGCAAACAGGAUUAGAUACCGGUAGUCCACGCCGUAAACGAUGUCGAUUUGGAGGUUGUGCCCUUGAGGCGUGGCUUCCGGAGCUAACGCGUUAAAUCGACCGCCUGGGGAGUACGGCCGCAAGGUUAAAACUCAAAUGAAUUGACGGGGGCCCGCACAAGCGGUGGAGCAUGUGGUUUAAUUCGAUGCAACGCGAAGAACCUUACCUGGUCUUGACAUCCACAGAACUUUCCAGAGAUGGAUUGGUGCCUUCGGGAACUGUGAGACAGGUGCUGCAUGGCUGUCGUCAGCUCGUGUUGUGAAAUGUUGGGUUAAGUCCCGCAACGAGCGCAACCCUUAUCCUUUGUUGCCAGCGGUCCGGCCGGGAACUCAAAGGAGACUGCCAGUGAUAAACUGGAGGAAGGUGGGGAUGACGUCAAGUCAUCAUGGCCCUUACGACCAGGGCUACACACGUGCUACAAUGGCAUAUACAAAGAGAAGCGACCUCGCGAGAGCAAGCGGACCUCAUAAAGUAUGUCGUAGUCCGGAUUGAGUCUGCAACUCGACUCCAUGAAGUCGGAAUCGCUAGUAAUCGUAGAUCAGAAUGCUACGGUGAAUACGUUCCCGGGCCUUGUACACACCGCCCGUCACACCAUGGGAGUGGGUUGCAAAAGAAGUAGGUAGCUUAACCUUCGGGAGGGCGCUUACCACUUUGUGAUUCAUGACUGGGGUGAAGUCGUAACAAGGUAACCGUAGGGGAACCUGCGGUUGGAUCACCUCCUU